GGGGUAGUGGUCCAGCUUGGUUAGGAUUGGAGGUUUGGGACUUCCCGGCCCAGGUUCAAAUCCUGGCUACCCCA
RNAcentral lists this transfer RNA (74 nucleotides) under Dehalococcoidia bacterium. Its description in RNAcentral is "tRNA-Pro". It matches the Rfam family "tRNA". From Rfam's summary of the family: Transfer RNA (tRNA) molecules are approximately 80 nucleotides in length. The record is from RNAcentral. Lineage: Bacteria; Bacillati; Chloroflexota; Dehalococcoidia. RNAcentral also lists the same sequence under 1 other name.